Molecule: unclassified non-coding RNA, 245 nt
Filed under: Hevea brasiliensis (rubber tree)
Lineage: Eukaryota; Viridiplantae; Streptophyta; Magnoliopsida; Malpighiales; Euphorbiaceae
Source: RNAcentral
UUCCACUAACCAUCUAAAGGCAAGUUGGAUUGCUUGAAUAAGCAACUUCUGGAAUUCAAAGGCUGGUUUAAAAAUUCAAAAAAAAUUUUAAGUGAAUAAAUGAAAUGCAUUAUAUGCAACUAAGUAUGCAUAACUAAGUAUAUGAAGCUAUAUGCAAGUGUAUAUAUGUGAAUAUGUACAAGUAUGAAGUAAUGAAUGAGUAUGUCACUAUAUGCAAGUGAAAAAAGGAAAAAUAAUUUUUGCAA